GGCGAGCAUGUGAAUGUGAGCGAAUCCCAAAAAUAACGUCUCAGUUCGGAUUGUAGUCUGCAACUCGACUACAUGAAGCUGGAAUCGCUAGUAAUCGCGAAUCAGAAUGUCGCGGUGAAUACGUUCCCGGGUCUUGUACACACCGCCCGUCACACCAUGGGAGUUGGGAAUGCCCGAAGCCGGUGACCUAACCGAAAGGGAGGAGCCGUCGAAGGCAGGCUUGAUAACUGGGGUGAAGUCGUAACAAGGUACC
This 253-nucleotide ribosomal RNA is filed under the name uncultured bacterium. Its description in RNAcentral is "partial 16S ribosomal RNA". It matches the Rfam family "Bacterial small subunit ribosomal RNA", at positions 1248 to 1500 of the family's 1533-position model. The record is from RNAcentral.